GGGGAUCUUGCUGAAGAUCCCUACCUACCUGAGGUCUUCCGAGGGGAACUGCAGACAAAACCCAGCAAACUCAAACUGUGGGCAGCAGUAUGUGGGGACUCUGCUAUGCCUCUCAGCAGGCAGAUACGGAGAAACCAGACCAUCACCAACCAGCUUUGCAUCAACCCACUGCAUUGCAUCCUUCAAGGACCUAAGCCUUAAGGAGAAGGAAUGAGAUAACCCAGAGUCACGCAGACUCCCCAGGAGCCAGGCAAGCCUCUGGCCCCCACUAUUCCCACUGCCCCCUCCCACGUGGUUUCCCAGUUCCGUGGGCAGGCAACAAGCUCUCGGCACCUCCACGCACAUAUGGCAUCCUGACUUCACUGAGCACAUUUUUAGGGCAAGCUUCUCAUCCCACUGCUCGCUCGACUCAAAAUAGCAAGCUGAAUUUGGGAGGCAACGUGUAGCUGUUGGCUGGGGAAGCAGCGUGCAAUUAAAAAGGAGGGACUGCCAGGAAUAUUUUAUACUGCGCAUAUGCUGUUUGCGAUCCUGUGCGCACACAGAAAAGAGAAGAAAGAAAAAAGGUCUUCUGAGAGAGAGAGGAGAAGAAAAGAGUGAUGGUUUGGCUCGCUAGGGCCAUUUUGGAUAAGCCGAAAUGCCACUGGGUGGGAGAUGGCUGCAGUGUACAUCUCCAUCUGCAGCUCCUCACGGAGAUGGGAUGCCUUACAGAUAGAUAGGAAAGGGGCAACUGGGGAUAGCAGCAGGUGAUAUAAAGAGAUAUAUCACAGAGGGAAAUGGGUUCUGUGGUUUUGCCUUUCUCCAUGGCUCAGCAUUGAGUCCACCUCUGCUCCCACCAUGUUUUCUGCCCUGGCUUCCCACGGCCAUGCGGGCUCUGGCAGCUGUGAAAGUGGGAGCCUCUCUUUGCGAUGUCUUGGGAGCCAACACGUCAGCUGAGCGCUGAGAUGGAGCAUUUCAUACGAAAUAUGGAAAUUUCCAUUCCAGGAGGAUUUCAUGGUUUUGUCAAUGUUGCAGCAGCAGAAGCCGGGAUUUUUACAACACUGUGAAAGUAAUGUCUGCCCCAAAAAAAUCUACUUCGAGCUGAGGAAAAACGUUCCAUUUCCUCCAAACGUGCCUCAUUUUUGUAAACGUGUCACUAAGGUCACUUAAGAAUGAAAGCAGAGACAACAGUGAAAUAGAAGGAGCAGAAAAUCACCUUUGGGGGCUGGGAGUGACCCAGGCUUGAGCAGAAGCAUCGCUGGAUCCAAAACCCAUGCAGCCUGCAGGCCCGGCCCCAGGCACAGCGCUCCCAGCUUUCCCAUCCCAGCCACCCAGAGCCGCUCACGUUGCCCAGGCUCCCCCAAGCCAGGGUCAGGUUUUCUUCAGGCUGUGAAGAAAAGAGCAAAGGGAGGGAAAGAAACGCUCUGCAAAAGCCAUUUGUCCCCUCGGCUUUAUUCCGGCUGCAAGUCGGAGCAGCUUGUAGCUCCAGA
Molecule: long non-coding RNA, 1466 nt
Organism: Numida meleagris (helmeted guineafowl)
Lineage: Eukaryota; Metazoa; Chordata; Aves; Galliformes; Numididae
Exons: 3
Source: RefSeq, a predicted model, not a curated record